UCCAGGGUAGCCUAGAGGACAUGGCAUAUGCCCGGUAAGCGGAACACUGUGGGUUCGAUUCCCAUCCCUGGAU
This 73-nucleotide transfer RNA is filed under the name Cordylochernes scorpioides. RNAcentral describes it as "tRNA-Thr". It matches the Rfam family "tRNA". From Rfam's summary of the family: Transfer RNA (tRNA) molecules are approximately 80 nucleotides in length. Their secondary structure includes four short double-helical elements and three loops (D, anti-codon, and T loops). Further hydrogen bonds mediate the characteristic L-shaped molecular structure. tRNAs have two regions of fundamental functional importance: the anti-codon, which is responsible for specific mRNA codon recognition, and the 3' end, to which the tRNAs corresponding amino acid is attached (by aminoacyl-tRNA synthetases). tRNAs cope with the degeneracy of the genetic code in two manners: having more than one tRNA (with a specific anti-codon) for a particular amino acid; and 'wobble' base-pairing, i.e. permitting non-standard base-pairing at the 3rd anti-codon position. Lineage: Eukaryota; Metazoa; Arthropoda; Arachnida; Pseudoscorpiones; Chernetidae. The record is from RNAcentral.